AUCAGUACUAAAUAUUGGCUCCUAGGCAAUAAGGUAGUAAGGGAUAGGCAAUUGGGGUUAAGUAACUUGCCCUGGGUCACACAGCUAGACAGUGCCUGAGAUCAGAUUUGAACCCAAGACCUCCCAUCUCUAGGCUUGGUUCUCUAUCCACUGUGCCACCUAGGUGCCCUCUUCCUGAUCUUCUUAGCUUUCCUCCAUUCUACCAUUCCAUUGUUUAUUUCCUAUGACCUAGACUAGAUAGUCCCUAAAGUCCCUUCCAGCUCUAAUAAAUUAUCAUUCUGAGAUUCCAUCCUGAAGACUUUGUCUGCCAGUGUUUUCUGUAAAUGGGCUAUUUGUGCCCAGUUUGUGAUAGAGCCUUCUGAGCUCACAUCUGAUGAGUCACAAUUGAACACACCGUACAUUGACCUCGACCUAAUGAUGUUAUUUUGGUCCUCUAGACAAUGAAGGACAAAAACUAGUAUCUCUGAGAGAAUAACUAUGAUUGACUUGGCCAACACACAGUUUUAUCAGAUGGUCUUCACCGGUUCAAGAACUCUAGGUUAAGAACUCCUGGACUACAAGACCUCCAAGAUAGCUUUAUGGCACCGUCACAUGUACUUCUCCUCCAUAUGGCUUCCUGUCAUCCUAGCAAAAGCUCCUUUUAGCUGAUGUUCUUCCCAGUGCUGACAACCCAGAAAUGCACUCUCAGACAUUUCCCAUCAUGGAAACUCCAGUUCUAGUCCAGGUUGAUCUGUCAAUGACAGCUCCAGGAGAGUAAGCAAUGUGAGGCUGUGUUUAGGUUUCUGUAGACAGCCAAAUGGGGAAAUCAGUCCUUGGUAACGUGCCAGUCUAUCAUUUUGUCAUAAUAUAGUUGCUGUGAUGGCAUUA
This is a long non-coding RNA of Monodelphis domestica (gray short-tailed opossum), 867 nucleotides long. RefSeq lists it as uncharacterized. The record is from RefSeq and is a predicted model, not a curated record. NCBI's taxonomy places the organism in Eukaryota, Metazoa, Chordata, Mammalia, Didelphimorphia, Didelphidae.